This 77-nucleotide transfer RNA is filed under the name Halomonas sp. ND22Bw. RNAcentral's name for it is "tRNA-Met". It matches the Rfam family "tRNA". Rfam says of the family: Transfer RNA (tRNA) molecules are approximately 80 nucleotides in length. The record is from RNAcentral. Lineage: Bacteria; Pseudomonadati; Pseudomonadota; Gammaproteobacteria; Oceanospirillales; Halomonadaceae.
GGGCCUGUAGCUCAAUUGGUUAGAGCAGAGAACUCAUAAUUCUUUGGUUUCCGGUUCAAGUCCGGGCGGGCCCACCA